RNAcentral lists this ribosomal RNA (407 nucleotides) under uncultured bacterium. Its description in RNAcentral is "partial 16S ribosomal RNA". It matches the Rfam family "Bacterial small subunit ribosomal RNA", at positions 29 to 526 of the family's 1533-position model. The record is from RNAcentral.
AACGAACGCUGGCGGCGUGCCUAAUACAUGCAAGUAGAACGCCGUUGCGAACGGGUGAGUAACGCGUCGGUAACUGCCUCAUAGCGGGGGGUAACUAUUGGGAACGGUAGCUAAUACCCCAUACUGUUGGAUAGACCUGCGUUGUAUUAGCUAGUUGGUGGGGUAAAGGCUCACCAAGGCGACGAUGCCUAGCCGACCUGAGAGGGUGAUCGGCCACACUGGGACUGAGACACGGCCCAGACUCCUACGGGAGGCAGCAGUAGGGAAUCUUCGGCAAUGGACGGAAGCCUGAUCCAGCCAUGCCGCGUGUGUGAAGAAGGUCUUCGGAUUGUAAAGCACUUUAAGUUGGGAGGCGUUACCAACAGAAUAAGCACCGGCUAACUUCGUGCCAGCCGCCGCGGUAAUUC